RNAcentral lists this ribosomal RNA (500 nucleotides) under uncultured bacterium. RNAcentral's name for it is "partial 16S ribosomal RNA". It matches the Rfam family "Bacterial small subunit ribosomal RNA", at positions 29 to 523 of the family's 1533-position model. The record is from RNAcentral.
AUUGAACGCUGGCGGCAUGCCUUACACAUGCAAGUCGAACGGCAGCACGGGAGCAAUCCUGGUGGCGAGUGGCGAACGGGUGAGUAAUGUAUCGGAACGUGCCCAGUCGUGGGGGAUAACGUAGCGAAAGCUACGCUAAUACCGCAUACGAUCUGUGGAUGAAAGCGGGGGACCGUAAGGCCUCGCGCGAUUGGAGCGGCCGAGAUCAGAUUAGGUAGUUGGGGGGGUAAAGGCCUACCAAGCGGACGAUCUGUAGCUGGUCUGAGAGGACGACCAGCCACACUGGGACUGAGACACGGCCCAGACUCCUACGGGAGGCAGCAGUGGGGAAUUUUGGACAAUGGGCGCAAGCCUGAUCCAGCAAUGCCGCGUGCAGGACGAAGGCCUUCGGGUUGUAAACUGCUUUUGUACGGAGCGAAAAGGCUCUCUCUAAUACAGGGGGCUCAUGACGGUACCGUAAGAAUAAGCACCGGCUAACUACGUGCCAGCCGCCGCCGUAA